GACGAACGCUGGCGGCGUGCCUAAUACAUGCAAGUAGAACGCUGAAGGAGGAGCUUGCUUCUCUGGAUGAGUUGCGAACGGGUGAGUAACGCGUAGGGAACCUGCCCGGUAGCGGGGGAUAACUAUUGGAAACGAUAGCUAAUACCGCAUAAAAGUAGAUGUUGCAUGACAUUUGCUUAAAAGAUACAAUUUUGUCGUUACUAAAAGAACCUGCCGUGGUUUAUCUAGUUGGUGAGGUAACGGCUGACCAAGGGGACAAUACAUCGCCGACCUGAGAGGGGGGUCGGCCACACUGGGACUGAGACACGGGCCAGACUCCCACGGGGGGGAGCAAUAGGGAAUCUUCGGGCAUGGGCGGAAGUCUGGCCGAGCCACGCCGCGGGAGUGAAGAAGGGUUUCGGGUCGGAAAGCUCUGUUGUAAGGGAAGAAAGAGUGUGAGAGUGGAAAGUUCACACUGUGACGGUAUCUUACCAGAAAGGGACGGCUAACUACGUG
Molecule: ribosomal RNA, 495 nt
Filed under: uncultured bacterium
Lineage: Bacteria
Description: partial 16S ribosomal RNA
Rfam family: Bacterial small subunit ribosomal RNA
Source: RNAcentral